RNAcentral lists this ribosomal RNA (621 nucleotides) under uncultured bacterium. Its description in RNAcentral is "bacterial SSU rRNA". It matches the Rfam family "Bacterial small subunit ribosomal RNA", at positions 336 to 973 of the family's 1533-position model. The record is from RNAcentral.
CUCCUACGGGAGGCUGCAGUUAGGGAUUUUGGGCAAUGGGCGAAAGCCUGACCCAGCAACGCCGCGUGAGUGAAGAAGGCCUUCGGGUUGUAAAGCUCUUUUCUAGGGGAAGAUGAUGACGGUACCCUAGGAAUAAGCCCCGGCUAACUACGUGCCAGCAGCCGCGGUAAAACGUAGGGGGCAAGCGUUGUCCGGAAUUACUGGGCGUAAAGCGCGCGCAGGUGGGUAGGUAAGACAGACGUGAAAGGCUAGAGCUAAACUGUAGCAUUGCGUAUGAGACUGCCUAUCUUGAGUACAGCAGAGGAAAGUGGAAUUCCCGGUGUAGUGGUGAAAUGCGUAGAUAUCGGGAGGAAUACCAGUGGCGAAGGCGGCUUUCUGGGCUGUUACUGACGCUGAGGCGCGAAGGCGUGGGGAGCGAACCGAAUUAGAUACUCGGGUAGUCCACGCGGUAAACGAUGGACACUAGGUGUGGGGGGUAUCGACCCCCUCCGUGCCGAAGCGAACGCGAUAAGUGUCCCGCCUGGGGAGUACGGCCGCAAGGCUAAAACUCAAAGGAAUUGACGGGGGCCCGCACAAGCAGCGGAGCGUGUGGUUUAAUUCGACGCAACGCGAAGAACCUUA